RNAcentral lists this long non-coding RNA (1216 nucleotides) under Marmota monax (woodchuck). The record is from RNAcentral. Lineage: Eukaryota; Metazoa; Chordata; Mammalia; Rodentia; Sciuridae.
GUUGCUUGUGACAGGGCUUAAAUUAUUCCACUAUCUAUACUCAGAAGGGUCCUUAUCAGCCUUUCAUGCCAACAUGUGCAAGCAUUGGUUUAUAGAGCUGCUAUAAUAUAACUACCUUUCCUUGGAUGGUGGCCCAGCAAUAUCAGCCCUGCCUGCAAACACUCUAGAAGCACUAAUGGUACUACAUAGUGUAUUCUACAGGUUGCCAGAGGUAUUAUAUAGAAAAACUAAACUUGAUUUCUCUAUCAUUUCCCUCACUGGACUAAGGCUCUAAGAUUGCCCCAACCAGAAGUUGCUAAAAAACCUUCUUCCUCAAGGGGUAUUCAAAGGGUUGAGUCAAUAAUGCUUUGUAUAGAUUGGCUAGCAGAUAUGUCAUACUGCUAUGAAAGCUCCAUGGAUUACAAAAUGAGUGAAAAUGUGAUGAUUACAAUUCCAGAUGUGCAAAAGUGUCUACAGUAUGCUGCUUAAAAAGCAUCAGCAACAACUCAGGCAGGAUUUAUAGGAGAAACAUAAAGAUGGCUCCACUCUUUAAAUUAUUAUGUGCAUUUACAGAUUACUGUCAUCACUGGUGUUGUUAUGAUUUUUAAUACAGAUGGUAAGAUGCCAAAAGUAUUUUGUAUCAACUAAGUUGGGAAUUUAGCAUUGGGAUUAACAUUAUACAAUUCCAUGGGAAAAGAGGAUAAAUACUGGAUUUUUUUCAAACCUAUUUUCAAAGAAUAAGCAUCUUUUGCAAAUGACUUAAUAAAAGGUAAUUCCUUAAUAACUCACUUAUGAUUUUGUGUUAAAAUGUCAAAGAAGGUAUCAGGUAAGGCUCUAAGAUUGCACCAACCAGAAGCUGCUAAAAAGCCUUCUUCUUCAAGGGGUAUUCAAAGGAUUGAGUCAAUAAUGGCUUUGCAGAGAUUGGCUAGCAGAUAUGUCACACUGCACAUAAAAGCUCCAUGGAUUACAAAACGAGUGAAAAUGUGAUGAUUACAAUUCCAGAUGUGCAAAAUAUUCCCUUCUUAAAUUCCCUUUAACAAGGGAAUUACUGGAAAACUUAACUUUGGAUGAAAUUUGUGGUGUGGUGUAUACACUUCUAUCAAUGGCACAUGCUAAUAUCAACCUGCAGCAAGAAUUCCAUUUAUCUGACCCUGUUUCCAUGCCAAACUAAAGUUUUGCAAAGUAAUGACAAUAUGAUUUGGAUCUUAAUAGCAGAAAAUACAAGAAAGUUACAAAC